UCUGGUUGAUUCUGCCAGUAGUCAUAUGCUUGUCUCAAAGAUUAAGCCAUGCAUGUCUAAGUAUAAGCAAUUUAUACGGUGAAACUGCGAAUGGCUCAUUAAAUCAGUUAUCGUUUAUUUGAUAGUACCUUACUACAUGGAUACCUGUGGUAAUUCUAGAGCUAAUACAUGCUGAAAACCUCGACUUCGGAAGGGGUGUAUUUAUUAGAUAAAAAACCAAUGCCCUUCGGGGCUCCUUGGUGAAUCAUAAUAACUUAACGAAUCGCAUGGCCUUGCGCCGGCGAUGGUUCAUUCAAAUUUCUGCCCUAUCAACUUUCGAUGGUAGGAUAGUGGCCUACCAUGGUGGCAACGGGUAACGGGGAAUUAGGGUUCGAUUCCGGAGAGGGAGCCUGAGAAACGGCUACCACAUCCAAGGAAGGCAGCAGGCGCGCAAAUUACCCAAUCCCGACACGGGGAGGUAGUGACAAUAAAUACUGAUACGGGGCUCUUUUGGGUCUCGUAAUUGGAAUGAGUACAAUCUAAAUCCCUUAACGAGGAACAAUUGGAGGGCAAGUCUGGUGCCAGCAGCCGCGGUAAUUCCAGCUCCAAUAGCGUAUAUUAAAGUUGUUGCAGUUAAAAAGCUCGUAGUUGAACCUUGGGUUCGGCCGGCCGGUCCGCCUCACCGCGAGUACUGUCCGGCCGUUCCUUUCCUUCUGGGGAAUCCCAUGGCCUUCACUGGCUGUGGGGGGGAACCAGGACUUUUACUGUGAAAAAAUUAGAGUGUUCAAAGCAGGCCUUUGCUCGAAUACAUUAGCAUGGAAUAAUAGAAUAGGACGUGUGGUUCUAUUUUGUUGGUUUCUAGGACCGCCGUAAUGAUUAAUAGGGAUAGUCGGGGGCGUCAGUAUUCAGCUGUCAGAGGUGAAAUUCUUGGAUUUGCUGAAGACUAACUACUGCGAAAGCAUUC
RNAcentral lists this ribosomal RNA (943 nucleotides) under Aspergillus aculeatus ATCC 16872. Its description in RNAcentral is "SSU rRNA". It matches the Rfam family "Eukaryotic small subunit ribosomal RNA", at positions 1 to 956 of the family's 1831-position model. Lineage: Eukaryota; Fungi; Ascomycota; Eurotiomycetes; Eurotiales; Aspergillaceae. The record is from RNAcentral.